RNAcentral lists this ribosomal RNA (470 nucleotides) under uncultured bacterium. RNAcentral describes it as "bacterial SSU rRNA". It matches the Rfam family "Bacterial small subunit ribosomal RNA", at positions 33 to 507 of the family's 1533-position model. The record is from RNAcentral.
GACGACGCUGGCGGCGUGCUUAAUACAUGCAAGUCGAACGGAGCCUAGCUGGUGGUUUACUACCGGCGAAAGCUUAGUGGCGGACGGGUGAGUAACGCGUGGGUAAUCUACCCCUAAGUCCGGGAUAACAGAGCGAAAGUUCUGCUAAUACCGGAUACUCUUCCCGGGUCGCAUGGUCUGGGAAGGAAAGGUUUACUGCUUAGGGAUGAGCCCGCGUCCCAUUAGCUAGUUGGUGAGGUAACGGCUCACCAAGGCGACGAUGGGUAGCCGGCCUGAGAGGGUGGACGGCCACACUGGGACUGAGACACGGCCCAGACUCCUACGGGAGGCAGCAGUAGGGAAUUUUCCGCAAUGGGCGAAAGCCUGACGGAGCAACGCCGCGUGAGGGAAGAAGGUCUUCGGAUCGUAAACCUUUGUCAUCGGGGACGAUCAUGACGGUACCCGAGGAGGAAGCCCCGGCUAACUACGUG